UUAAGCGACUAAGCGUACACGGUGGAUGCCCUGGCAGUCAGAGGCGAUGAAGGACGUGCUAAUCUGCGAUAAGCGUCGGUAAGGUGAUAUGAACCGUUAUAACCGGCGAUUUCCGAAUGGGGAAACCCAGUGUGAUUCGUCACACUAUCAUUAACUGAAUCCAUAGGUUAAUGAGGCGAACCGGGGGAACUGAAACAUCUAAGUACCCCGAGGAAAAGAAAUCAACCGAGAUUCCCCCAGUAGCGGCGAGCGAACGGGGAGCAGCCCAGAGCCUGAAUCAGUGUGUGUGUUAGUGGAAGCGUCUGGAAAGGCGUGCGAUACAGGGUGACAGCCCCGUACACAAAAAUGCACAUAUUGUGAGCUCGAUGAGUAGGGCGGGACACGUGGUAUCCUGUCUGAAUAUGGGGGGACCAUCCUCCAAGGCUAAAUACUCCUGACUGACCGAUAGUGAACCAGUACCGUGAGGGAAAGGCGAAAAGAACCCCGGCGAGGGGAGUGAAAAAGAACCUGAAACCGUGUACGUACAAGCAGUGGGAGCACGCUUAGGCGUGUGACUGCGUACCUUUUGUAUAAUGGGUCAGCGACUUAUAUUCUGUAGCAAGGUUAACCGAAUAGGGGAGCCGAAGGGAAACCGAGUCUUAACUGGGCGUUAAGUUGCAGGGUAUAGACCCGAAACCCGGUGAUCUAGCCAUGGGCAGGUUGAAGGUUGGGUAACACUAACUGGAGGACCGAACCGACUAAUGUUGAAAAAUUAGCGGAUGACUUGUGGCUGGGGGUGAAAGGCCAAUCAAACCGGGAGAUAGCUGGUUCUCCCCGAAAGCUAUUUAGGUAGCGCCUCGUGAAUUCAUCUCCGGGGGUAGAGCACUGUUUCGGCAAGGGGGUCAUCCCGACUUACCAACCCGAUGCAAACUGCGAAUACCGGAGAAUGUUAUCACGGGAGACACACGGCGGGUGCUAACGUCCGUCGUGAAGAGGGAAACAACCCAGACCGCCAGCUAAGGUCCCAAAGUCAUGGUUAAGUGGGAAACGAUGUGGGAAGGCCCAGACAGCCAGGAUGUUGGCUUAGAAGCAGCCAUCAUUUAAAGAAAGCGUAAUAGCUCACUGGUCGAGUCGGCCUGCGCGGAAGAUGUAACGGGGCUAAACCAUGCACCGAAGCUGCGGCAGCGACGCUUAUGCGUUGUUGGGUAGGGGAGCGUUCUGUAAGCCUGCGAAGGUGUGCUGUGAGGCAUGCUGGAGGUAUCAGAAGUGCGAAUGCUGACAUAAGUAACGAUAAAGCGGGUGAAAAGCCCGCUCGCCGGAAGACCAAGGGUUCCUGUCCAACGUUAAUCGGGGCAGGGUGAGUCGACCCCUAAGGCGAGGCCGAAAGGCGUAGUCGAUGGGAAACAGGUUAAUAUUCCUGUACUUGGUGUUACUGCGAAGGGGGGACGGAGAAGGCUAUGUUGGCCGGGCGACGGUUGUCCCGGUUUAAGCGUGUAGGCUGGUUUUCCAGGCAAAUCCGGAAAAUCAAGGCUGAGGCGUGAUGACGAGGCACUACGGUGCUGAAGCAACAAAUGCCCUGCUUCCAGGAAAAGCCUCUAAGCAUCAGGUAACAUCAAAUCGUACCCCAAACCGACACAGGUGGUCAGGUAGAGAAUACCAAGGCGCUUGAGAGAACUCGGGUGAAGGAACUAGGCAAAAUGGUGCCGUAACUUCGGGAGAAGGCACGCUGAUAUGUAGGUGAAGUCCCUCGCGGAUGGAGCUGAAAUCAGUCGAAGAUACCAGCUGGCUGCAACUGUUUAUUAAAAACACAGCACUGUGCAAACACGAAAGUGGACGUAUACGGUGUGACGCCUGCCCGGUGCCGGAAGGUUAAUUGAUGGGGUUAGCGCAAGCGAAGCUCUUGAUCGAAGCCCCGGUAAACGGCGGCCGUAACUAUAACGGUCCUAAGGUAGCGAAAUUCCUUGUCGGGUAAGUUCCGACCUGCACGAAUGGCGUAAUGAUGGCCAGGCUGUCUCCACCCGAGACUCAGUGAAAUUGAACUCGCUGUGAAGAUGCAGUGUACCCGCGGCAAGACGGAAAGACCCCGUGAACCUUUACUAUAGCUUGACACUGAACAUUGAGCCUUGAUGUGUAGGAUAGGUGGGAGGCUUUGAAGUGUGGACGCCAGUCUGCAUGGAGCCGACCUUGAAAUACCACCCUUUAAUGUUUGAUGUUCUAACGUUGACCCGUAAUCCGGGUUGCGGACAGUGUCUGGUGGGUAGUUUGACUGGGGCGGUCUCCUCCUAAAGAGUAACGGAGGAGCACGAAGGUUGGCUAAUCCUGGUCGGACAUCAGGAGGUUAGUGCAAUGGCAUAAGCCAGCUUGACUGCGAGCGUGACGGCGCGAGCAGGUGCGAAAGCAGGUCAUAGUGAUCCGGUGGUUCUGAAUGGAAGGGCCAUCGCUCAACGGAUAAAAGGUACUCCGGGGAUAACAGGCUGAUACCGCCCAAGAGUUCAUAUCGACGGCGGUGUUUGGCACCUCGAUGUCGGCUCAUCACAUCCUGGGGCUGAAGUAGGUCCCAAGGGUAUGGCUGUUCGCCAUUUAAAGUGGUACGCGAGCUGGGUUUAGAACGUCGUGAGACAGUUCGGUCCCUAUCUGCCGUGGGCGCUGGAGAAUUGAGGGGGGCUGCUCCUAGUACGAGAGGACCGGAGUGGACGCAUCACUGGUGUUCGGGUUGUCAUGCCAAUGGCACUGCCCGGUAGCUAAAUGCGGAAGAGAUAAGUGCUGAAAGCAUCUAAGCACGAAACUUGCCCCGAGAUGAGUUCUCCCUGACUCCUUGAGAGUCCUGAAGGAACGUUGAAGACGACGACGUUGAUAGGCCGGGUGUGUAAGCGCAGCGAUGCGUUGAGCUAACCGGUACUAAUGAACCGUGAGGCUUAACCU
This 2901-nucleotide ribosomal RNA is filed under the name Escherichia coli O22:H8. RNAcentral describes it as "23S ribosomal RNA". It matches the Rfam family "Bacterial large subunit ribosomal RNA". Lineage: Bacteria; Pseudomonadati; Pseudomonadota; Gammaproteobacteria; Enterobacterales; Enterobacteriaceae. The record is from RNAcentral.